Molecule: ribosomal RNA, 253 nt
Filed under: uncultured Lachnospiraceae bacterium
Lineage: Bacteria; Bacillati; Bacillota; Clostridia; Lachnospirales; Lachnospiraceae
Description: partial 16S ribosomal RNA
Rfam family: Bacterial small subunit ribosomal RNA
Source: RNAcentral
UACGUAGGGGGCAAGCGUUAUCCGGAUUUACUGGGUGUAAAGGGAGCGUAGACGGUUAAAUAAGUCAGAUGUGAAAGCCCAGGGCUCAACCCUGGGACUGCAUUUGAAACUAUGUAACUAGAGUGCAGGAGAGGUAAGUGGAAUUCCUAGUGUAGCGGUGAAAUGCGUAGAUAUUAGGAGGAACACCAGUGGCGAAGGCGGCUUACUGGACUGUAACUGACGUUGAGGCUCGAAAGCGUGGGGAGCAAACAGG